GGAAAACGCUCUUCUGAGAGGAUCUGUGGAGGUCAACCCAGGAGAGAGAAGACAGGACUGAAGCACUGAAAGGGUCCUGCCGUUAAGGGCGCAGGAUUGUAUAGAAUAUAUAAUAGCAGUAGCAGCUCUGUUUACGGAGCAUUAACCUUACGUGGAGUUAUUUCCUGCAUUUCCUCCUUUCGUCUUUACAAGGUAGCCGUUUGGCGUCGUGAGGUAUGGAUGUUCCCAUCCCUAAUUUGCAAAAUAGGUAACUGAGGCUCAGGAGAGCUAGACUAGUUUGUGCACAGCCGAGAAGUGGUCAAGCUAGAAUGGGACCCCAGGUUUGUGCUCCCUACUCUCCACCGAUAACCUAUCAAAGGGCUUUGCAAGAGCUUUUGACUAAUCGUCUGUCAAUGGUUCUUCAUUCACGUAUUAAUUGCACAUCAGUAUGUGCCAAAUCUACUAGACAUUGGAGAAACAGUAGGAACAACACAUGGUACCGGCACAUGGAUCUUUCAGGAAAACGAAGUAGGUAAUAAACAGGAAAAAGCCCGAGUCUGAUGCUAAGAAGAACAUAAACAGGAUGCUGAGAGAUUGGGUCUCUCCACAUUGCCCCGGCUGCUCUCCAACCCCUGAGUUCAAGUGAUUCACCUCCCUUGGCCUCCCAAAGUACUGGGAUUACAGGCGUGAGCCACCGUGCCUGGCUGAGAAGAUGGAUUUAAGACAUAUUUUGGAGUAAAAUUUAAGUGUGGCUCUGUGCCUAUGCUCUCCCCAGCGGAAAGUGACCAGAAGAGGUGUGCAGUUUCCAGGCCUGGCCCAUACAGACCUCCAACAGGUGCUCCCCUGUGCUGUUACUCCUUCUGCCAACUGGAAGCAGAUGGUGACCAGGCUCUGGAGAAGGCAAGGCCUGAAGAUGGGAGAUUCCUAAGUGGAGGAGAACUGUGCCUUACUGACCUAAAUAUCCACUCAGUAUUGUUAUGUGAGAAUAAAUAAACUUGUGUUGA
This 983-nucleotide long non-coding RNA is filed under the name Homo sapiens (human). Its description in RNAcentral is "HSALNT0370511". Lineage: Eukaryota; Metazoa; Chordata; Mammalia; Primates; Hominidae. The record is from RNAcentral.